This is a long non-coding RNA of Aptenodytes forsteri (emperor penguin), 362 nucleotides long. RefSeq lists it as uncharacterized. NCBI's taxonomy places the organism in Eukaryota, Metazoa, Chordata, Aves, Sphenisciformes, Spheniscidae. The record is from RefSeq and is a predicted model, not a curated record. The transcript has 2 exons.
UCUGCUACUGCGAAGAGGAAUAUAAACAAGAUGGAGACUCAUCCUGCCAACCAGGGCACUUCAGAGAUCUCUUGGUCUGAUACACUCGCCAAGUCCUCCAGCCACCCGUUGGCAACCCCAACCUGUACCAGACCACUGGGCUGAAAGGAGCACAGAAGAGGGGGCAGCUGGAAGGAAAGCUGAACAAGUGCUAUCCCAAACCUGCUUUUCCCAUUAUGAAUGUCUUAUGAAGAGGUGAUCUCCUUAGCUGCCUUGCUGCAAAAAGACAGCAAGAAUUUCUGGGUACUUCAACAUGCCUUUCUAACCUCAACAGCACUGACUGCUUGUUUUUUUAAAUGGAAUAAAAAUCUGUUGAUGCAGUA